CAGCUCUCCGAGUAGUGUGGACGUUUAUUGGGCCCAAAGCAUCCGUAGCUUGCUAGAUAAGUCCUCUGUUAAAUCCACCGAUUCAAUCGUUGGAUUGCGGGGGAUACUGUUUGGCUAGGGGACGGGAGAGGUCGACGGUAUUUCCGGGGUAGGGGUGAAAUCCUAUAAUCCCGGGAGGACCACCAGUGGCGAAGGCUGUCGACUAGAACGCGCCCGACGGUGAGGGAUGAAAGCUGGGGGAGCGAACCGGAUUAGAUACCCGAGUAGUCC
Molecule: ribosomal RNA, 270 nt
Filed under: uncultured archaeon
Lineage: Archaea
Description: partial 16S ribosomal RNA
Rfam family: Archaeal small subunit ribosomal RNA
Source: RNAcentral